UACGAAGGGGGCGAGCGUUGUUCGGAAUCACUGGGCGUAAAGGGCGCGUAGGCGGCCCUCUUAGUCGCGUGUGAAAGCCCCGGGCUCAACCUGGGAACGGCGCGCGAAACGGGAGGGCUGGAGUUCGGGAGAGGAGAGUGGAAUUCCCAGUGUAGAGGUGAAAUUCGUAGAUAUUGGGAAGAACACCGGUGGCGAAGGCGGCUAUCUGGACCGACAUUGACGCUGAGGCGCGAAAGCGUGGGGAGCAAACAGG
RNAcentral lists this ribosomal RNA (253 nucleotides) under uncultured bacterium. RNAcentral describes it as "partial 16S ribosomal RNA". It matches the Rfam family "Bacterial small subunit ribosomal RNA", at positions 524 to 776 of the family's 1533-position model. The record is from RNAcentral.